AGAUUGAACGCUGGCGGCGUGCCUAACACAUGCAAGUCGAACGGGAGUAGCAAUACUCUAGUGGCGGACGGGUGAGGAAUACGUAGGAAUUUGCCCUUAAGUGGGGGAUAACCCGGGGAAACCCGGAUUAAUACCGCAUGACCUCGAAAGAGCGAAGUGGGGGAUCGCAAGACCUCACGCUUUUGGAGAAGCCUACGUCGGAUUAGCUAGUUGGUGAGGUAAUGGCUCACCAAGGCGACGAUCCGUAACUGGUCUGAGAGGAUGAUCAGUCACACCGGAACUGAGACACGGUCCGGACUCCUACGGGAGGCAGCAGUGGGGAAUAUUGGACAAUGGGCGCAAGCCUGAUCCAGCAAUGCCGCGUGUGUGAAGAAGGCCUUCGGUUGUAAAGCACUUUAAGUUAGGAAGAAAACGUACGACGUCUAACACAGUGAGUCUUGACGGUACCGACAGAAUAAGCACCGCUAACCCUGUACCACGACGACGACCG
Molecule: ribosomal RNA, 490 nt
Filed under: uncultured soil bacterium
Lineage: Bacteria
Description: bacterial SSU rRNA
Rfam family: Bacterial small subunit ribosomal RNA
Source: RNAcentral